Molecule: long non-coding RNA, 872 nt
Filed under: Homo sapiens (human)
Lineage: Eukaryota; Metazoa; Chordata; Mammalia; Primates; Hominidae
Description: non-protein coding TEX41:109
Source: RNAcentral
AUCUUGAAAACGGAAAAUAAAAACAGCAGACCUAUGAAGGUCGAAGGGGAAGAAAAGCUGUAUCGAUUGUUGAGAUCUGGCGACUUGUUUAAAUUUCAUCAGCCUCACUUCUAUGAACUCUCAGGCCUCACGUGUACCAGCUCUCUGCUCUCCUUUGCCUUGGGACGUUCCAUCCCUGGAAGUUUCCCUGCCCACAUCUUUGUAGAGAGUCCAUUCUCCAAGCUUCAGUGUGUCAUCUGUGAGGACCGUGACCCACCUGGUACAUCGCCUCAGGGCAUUCAUUUCAGGCUCCUUCUAAAUGGCCAAGUUUUCAAGAUUGUUUUGGCUCUAGCAAAACAAGUUGGAACAUUCACAUCAUCCAGUUUCAAGUUCAGAAUAGUCGAAACAGGCCUUUUCAAGAACAGUAUUCAUUGAAAUGCAUCAAAGCUCUUCUGCCAGCCUAACAAGCAUAGCAAGAAGAUAUAGCCCCACAACCACUUUAUGCACAAAGUUAGAAGCAUAAAAUCUCAUGGAAGGAGACCGAUUAUCUACAGAAGAGGUUGUCUUGCCAUUUCUCUCAUGUUAGAGGUAAACCUCAGGUUCUCCUCCUGCCUUUUGCUAAGUAUAUGUCUUGAUGACAAGCCUUCUGCUGAUGAGCUGUGUUUCUGGACCGAUCAUGGUAGAAGUCAAUUAACGUGUCCCUCACUUGGGGUUUCUCAAGGCUGCACUGAUGAGGAAACUGAAACAGAAAAUCCAGAGUAAAUUCCACCAGGCCACACAGCAAGGUCUGAUAGAGCCAGGAGAGACUUUAUGAAAUCCAGACUCUCACACUAAUGCUCUAUCAGCUAGACCUCCAUGUGAGUCUCCCCAAUGUAGGUAGGAAGUGCUUUCCC